This 83-nucleotide non-coding RNA is filed under the name unclassified sequences. RNAcentral's name for it is "PhotoRC-II RNA". It matches the Rfam family "PhotoRC-II RNA". The record is from RNAcentral.
UUACAACACACACGCUCCCCGUAAACCAAGACCUAUAGGGAGGAUAAAUUACGUCUUUUCUUACCCUUCAUAUACCCGUACUU